Molecule: ribosomal RNA, 1409 nt
Filed under: Leptodactylus bolivianus (Bolivian white-lipped frog)
Lineage: Eukaryota; Metazoa; Chordata; Amphibia; Anura; Leptodactylidae
Description: partial 16S ribosomal RNA
Rfam family: Bacterial large subunit ribosomal RNA
Source: RNAcentral
GCCAACAAUCUAGCCCGACCCAAAACCAAUGAUAAUCCACUAUCUUUUAAUAUUAAUUAAAACAUUCUUAUAUAUUAGUAAAGGAGAUUGAAAUUUUUUUAGGAGCUAUACUUUAGUACCGCAAGGGAAUGAUGAAAUAAAAAUGAAAAAAUUUGCAAGCACAAAAAAGUAGAGAUAAAUACUCGUACCUUUUGCAUCAUGGUUUAACUAGUCUAACCAAGCAAAAAGACCUAAAGUUUGACCCCCCGAAACUAAGUGAGCUACUUCGAGGCAGCUUUAUGAGCCAACCCGUCUCUGUUGCAAAAGAGUGGGAAGACCUCCAAGUAGGGGUGACAGACCUAACGAACUUAGUGAUAGCUGGUUGCUCGAGAAAGGGAUUUAAGUCCAGCCUAAAAUUAUUCAAAUUUAAUUAAAUGUCAUAAUGAUUUUAGAGUAAUUCAAGUAAGGUACAGCCUGCUUGAAACAGGAUACAACCUGGAUAUGAGGGUAAACAUUUUCUUUAAGCGACAAAGUGGGCCUAAAAGCAGCCACCUUUCAAAAAGCGUCACAGCUUUAUCGCACAGUAAACUAAUCCCAAACAUGUUAAUGAACCCCACCUCCAUAUGCAAGCAAUUCUAUAUUACUAUAGAAACUUUUAUGGUUAAAACUAGUAACAAGAAGAAGAACUUCUCCACAAUGCAAGUGUAAAUCAGAAAGGACCCACCACUGAUAAUUAACACCUAUGAAUUCUAUAGUAGUAACCCAACAAGAAAACUCUACUUAACCUAAUGUUAACCUAACACGAGAGCAUUACAGGAAAGAUUAAAAAAGAAAGAAGGAACUCGGCAAACUUUAACCCCGCCUGUUUACCAAAAACAUCGCCUCUUGAAUAUUAUAAGAGGUCCAGCCUGCCCAGUGACUCUGUUCAACGGCCGCGGUAUCCUAACCGUGCGAAGGUAGCGUAAUCACUUGUUCUUUAAAUGAGGACUAGUAUGAAUGGCACCACGAAGGUUAUACUGUCUCCUUUCUUUAAUCAGUGAAACUAAUCUCUCCGUGAAGAAGCGGGGAUAUAAUUAUAAGACGAGAAGACCCUAUGGAGCUUUAAACGUGAGUAACAAUUGCCCGCCAUAAUAUUUUUCCCCGGAAAUUAACCACAAUACUUAGGCAUCUUGAUUACAAGUUUUAGGUUGGGGUGACCGCGGAGCAGAGAAUAACCUCCGCAGUGAAUGGAACUUAUUUCCUAAACCCAGGGCUACGACCCUAAGCAUCAAUAAAUUGACACUAAUUGACCCAAUAUUUUGAUCAAUGAACCAAGUUACCCUAGGGAUAACAGCGCAAUCCACUUCAAGAGCCCCUAUCAGACAAGUGGGUUUACGACCUCGAUGUGGGAUCAUGGUAUCCCAGUGGUGCAGCACGCUACUAGAGGUUCG